GACGAACGCUGGCGGCGUGCUUAACACAUGCAAGUCGAACGGAAAGGCCCUGCUUUUGUGGGGUGCUCGAGUGGCGAACGGGUGAGUAACGCGUGAGUAACCUGCCCUUGACUUUGGGAUAACUUCAGGAAACUGGGGCUAAUACCGGAUAGGAGCUCCUGCUGCAUGGUGGGGGUUGGAAAGUUUCGGCGGUUGGGGAUGGACUCGCGGCUUAUCAGCUUGUUGGUGGGGUAGUGGCUUACCAAGGCUUUGACGGGUAGCCGGCCUGAGAGGGUGACCGGCCACAUUGGGACUGAGAUACGGCCCAGACUCCUACGGGAGGCAGCAGUGGGGAAUAUUGCACAAUGGGCGGAAGCCUGAUGCAGCAACGCCGCGUGCGGGAUGACGGCCUUCGGGUUGUAAACCGCUUUCACCUGUGACGAAGCGUGAGUGACGGUAAUGGGUAAAGAAGCACCGGCUAACUACGUG
RNAcentral lists this ribosomal RNA (468 nucleotides) under uncultured bacterium. RNAcentral describes it as "partial 16S ribosomal RNA". It matches the Rfam family "Bacterial small subunit ribosomal RNA", at positions 28 to 507 of the family's 1533-position model. The record is from RNAcentral.